Molecule: ribosomal RNA, 275 nt
Filed under: uncultured prokaryote
Description: partial 16S ribosomal RNA
Rfam family: Bacterial small subunit ribosomal RNA
Source: RNAcentral
UACGUAGGGUCCGAGCGUUGUCCGGAAUUAUUGGGCGUAAAGAGCUCGUAGGCGGUAUGUCGCGUCUGCUGUGAAAGACCGGGGCUUAACUUCGGUUUUGCAGUGGAUACGGGCAUGCUUGAGGUAGGUAGGGGAGACUGGAAUUCCUGGUGUAGCGGUGAAAUGCGCAGAUAUCAGGAGGAACACCGGUGGCGAAGGCGGGUCUCUGGGCCUUACCUGACGCUGAGGAGCGAAAGCAUGGGUAGCCAACAGGAUUAGAUACCCGGGUAGUCCCU